CACGUAGGGGGCUAGCGUUGUCCGGAUUUAUUGGGCGUAAAGAGCGUGUAGGCGGCCAGGUAGGUCCGGUGUGAAAACUCGAGGCUUAACCUCGAGAUGUCAUCGGAAACCAUCUGGCUAGAGUCCGGAAGAGGAAGGUGGAAUUCCUGGUGUAGCGGUGAAAUGCGCAGAUAUCGGGAGGAACACCGAUGGCGAAGGCGGUCAG
This 205-nucleotide ribosomal RNA is filed under the name uncultured bacterium. RNAcentral's name for it is "partial 16S ribosomal RNA". It matches the Rfam family "Bacterial small subunit ribosomal RNA", at positions 524 to 728 of the family's 1533-position model. The record is from RNAcentral.